Molecule: ribosomal RNA, 459 nt
Filed under: uncultured bacterium
Lineage: Bacteria
Description: partial 16S ribosomal RNA
Rfam family: Bacterial small subunit ribosomal RNA
Source: RNAcentral
CCUACGGGAGGCAGCAGUGAGGAAUAUUGGUCAAUGGGCGCGAGCCUGAACCAGCCAAGUCGCGUGAGGGAAGACGGUCCUAUGGAUUGUAAACCUCUUUUGUCGGGGAGCAAAAGACGCCACGCGUGGCGUUCCGAGAGUACCCGAAGAAAAAGCAUCGGCUAACUCCGUGCCAGCAGCCGCGGUAAUACGGAGGAUGCGAGCGUUAUCCGGAUUUAUUGGGUUUAAAGGGUGCGCAGGCGGAAGAUUAAGUCAGCGGUAAAAUUGAGGGGCUCAACCUCUUCCAGCCGUUGAAACUGGUAGUCUUGAGUGGGCGAGAAGUAUGCGGAAUGCGUGGUGUAGCGGUGAAAUGCAUAGAUAUCGCGCAGAACUCCGAUUGCGAAGGCAGCAUACCGGCGCCAAAUUGACGCUGAGGCACGAAAGUGUGGGUAUCGAACAGGAUUAGAUACCCUUGUAGUC